Molecule: transfer RNA, 72 nt
Filed under: Camelus bactrianus (Bactrian camel)
Lineage: Eukaryota; Metazoa; Chordata; Mammalia; Artiodactyla; Camelidae
Also listed under: 3 other names
Rfam family: tRNA
About the family: Transfer RNA (tRNA) molecules are approximately 80 nucleotides in length. Their secondary structure includes four short double-helical elements and three loops (D, anti-codon, and T loops). Further hydrogen bonds mediate the characteristic L-shaped molecular structure. tRNAs have two regions of fundamental functional importance: the anti-codon, which is responsible for specific mRNA codon recognition, and the 3' end, to which the tRNAs corresponding amino acid is attached (by aminoacyl-tRNA synthetases). tRNAs cope with the degeneracy of the genetic code in two manners: having more than one tRNA (with a specific anti-codon) for a particular amino acid; and 'wobble' base-pairing, i.e. permitting non-standard base-pairing at the 3rd anti-codon position.
Source: Rfam by way of RNAcentral
GAGGGUAUAGCUCAGUGGUAGAAUGUAUGCUUAGCAUGUAUGAGGUCCUGGGUUCAAUCCCCAGUACCUCCA